UUUGAAGCAUCAAAUGAGGGUUUUCUUGGUUGAUGCUUACUGUUAGUAGCUUCAGUUGUGACCCUUCUGGGGUUUUCUACUGCACAAGAUAAAUUGUAGCAUUUUAGCUACUUCCUAGCAUAGAAAUCAGCAUUGAAAGUAUUGAUUAUGUAUCAUUCCCGCAACAUAUUUCAAUUCACAUAAAGCCAAAACUCUAUAAGAUGCCUUAUUCUUGGACAAAUAAAUGCCAAGGCAACCUUUUGUUAAAUUUGUCAUUAAAUAUUUAUACAAUUUUAAAGAAGUCUGCGUAAGAAGAAUGUCAUAAUGAUCUCUCAAAAGCAAUAUUUUUCUGAUAAAAUGUAUAGAAAAACCAGCUGGUUCAAACCCGAGUUCAAAAUAAGGCUCAAUCCACUCCCAACAUCACCAAAAGUAACCCAAAAGUCAUUGACAAGUUAUUGGUACUUUCAUUUGUAGAAGAACAUGUUCCGAUGUGAGACUAGGGUAUGACAAUAUUCUUCAUAAGAAAUCAAUUGCAUAAUUUUAUGUUAAGAGGGCUCGAUUUAGCAUGUAUGUCACAAGCUAAGAUGAAUAAAUAAAGCUAUAAAAACAAGAAGAGGCUUGCUACAUAUGACAACAAAUUUAUAAAGAUAUUAAAUACCAACGUAUGUGCGUACAUGUGAUAGGUAGGAAUUAAGAACGACCCACCUUAAUUUAUUCUAUUUUCUCUCUUCGACUUUCAUAUUAGUUGCAAUUCAAUUCCGUCAUAAAUUUGUCGACAUAUAAAUCAUUUCCCAAACAAGAAUAACUCAAGAUGUUGCUUUCAGCAACCAACAUUCCUCUCAAAGCUGGCAGAUACAUAUUAAGAAAAAACAUGUAAAUAGCAAAAUAGCAUUCUAAAACCCUCUAAAUCAAAUUUAAACUGACAAUAUAUUCUUCUGCAUAAUUCAUACAACUAGUUUCACAGUAAUAUAUACCGCAUCCUGUCCUAAAAACAUGGCACUCUUUUUCUUACUAGACAAUGGAUUGUGUAAAAAAAAAUUAAUUGCAAUGUAGAUACUCCAUGAUAACUAGUCACUUGCAAUCAUAUACAAAAGGCAAAUGUACUUACCAUGCCGCCGUUGUGGAGGGGGAGGAGGUGCAGCUGCCGGCAUCAAAUUCCUCGAACUUGCACUCUUUAUCCUUCUAGAUGCUUUAUUUUCACGGGAUGAAAAACAUGGAAAACAACCCAUGUUUUGAGUCCAAGAAAUCCAACCAAAUGCAGAUUUUG
RNAcentral lists this long non-coding RNA (1246 nucleotides) under Panax ginseng (ginseng). Its description in RNAcentral is "long non-coding RNA (PGIN_LNC015506)". The record is from RNAcentral. Lineage: Eukaryota; Viridiplantae; Streptophyta; Magnoliopsida; Apiales; Araliaceae.